AUAUAUCAACCUCUUUAAAUUUUGAGAGUGUUUGGAUGUGGGGGUGUUAUUUUGCUGGCCUUUCUCCAAGGUCAGCUCCCCUGAAAUGUAUUAGCGGAACAAUUUGUUGACCGUUCAUUGGUGUGAUAGCAUAUCUACGCUAUUGACGUGAAGCAAGUUCAGCUUAUAACAGUCCAUUGACUUGGACAAUUCUCUAUUUAUUA
This 203-nucleotide unclassified non-coding RNA is filed under the name Cortinarius alpinus. Its description in RNAcentral is "partial internal transcribed spacer 2". The record is from RNAcentral. Lineage: Eukaryota; Fungi; Basidiomycota; Agaricomycetes; Agaricales; Cortinariaceae.